Molecule: ribosomal RNA, 318 nt
Filed under: uncultured bacterium
Lineage: Bacteria
Description: bacterial SSU rRNA
Rfam family: Bacterial small subunit ribosomal RNA
Source: RNAcentral
GAUGAACGCUAGCGGCAGGCUUAACACAUGCAAGUCGAGGGGCAGCAUGAGACGGAGAUUCGUCGAAGUCUUGAUGGCGACCGGCGCAAGGGUGCGUAACGCGUGAGCAACUUGCCCGUUUCAGGGGGAUAACCGGUGGAAACGCCGACUAAUACCCCAUGGUGAUGCUAUGAGGCAUCUCAUUUCAUCUAAAGAGAUUCGGAAACGGAUAGGCUCGCGUGACAUUAGCUAGACGGCGGGGUAACGGCCCACCAUGGCGACGAUGUCUAGGGGUUCUGAGAGGAAGGUCCCCCACACUGGAACUGAGACACGGUCCAG